GACGAACGCUGGCGGCGUGCUUAACACAUGCAAGUCGAACGGAAAGGCCCUGCUUUUGUGGGGUGCUCGAGUGGCGAACGGGUGAGUAACACGUGAGUAACCUGCCCUUGACUUUGGGAUAACUUCAGGAAACUGGGGCUAAUACCGGAUAGGAGCUCCUGCUGCAUGGUGGGGGUUGGAAAGUUUCGGCGGUUGGGGAUGGACUCGCGGGCUAUCAGCUUGUUGGUGGGGUAGUGGCUUACCAAGGCUUUGACGGGUAGCCGGCCUGAGAGGGUGACCGGCCACAUUGGGACUGAGAUACGGCCCAGACUCCUACGGGAGGCAGCAGUGGGGAAUAUUGCACAAUGGGCGGAAGCCUGAUGCAGCAACGCCGCGUGCGGGAUGACGGCCUUCGGGUUGUAAACCGCUUUCGCCUGUGACGAAGCGUGAGUGACGGUAAUGGGUAAAGAAGCACCGGCUAACUACGUG
This 468-nucleotide ribosomal RNA is filed under the name uncultured bacterium. RNAcentral's name for it is "partial 16S ribosomal RNA". It matches the Rfam family "Bacterial small subunit ribosomal RNA", at positions 28 to 507 of the family's 1533-position model. The record is from RNAcentral.